GAAAUGCGAUAAGUAAUGCGAAUUGCAGAAUUCCAGUGAGUCAUCGAAUCUUUGAACGCACAUUGCGCCCUUUGGUAUUCCGAAGGGCAUGCCUGUUCGAGCGUCAUUAUCAACCCUCAAGCGCUGGCUUGUCGUUGGACGGUUUGGCACGGUCACACGUGCCUCCUCCUAAAACUAAUGACGGCGUCCCUGGGACCCUCGGUACACUGAGUCUUGACGGACACGUACCGCAGUUUGGACCUGGGUGACCCGGCCUGCCGGUGUCGUAACAGACACCAUUUUUACAAGGUUGACCUCGGAUCAGGUAGGGAUACCCGCUGAACUUAA
RNAcentral lists this unclassified non-coding RNA (327 nucleotides) under uncultured Chaetothyriales. RNAcentral's name for it is "sequence contains ITS1". The stretch from base 1 to 106 matches the Rfam family "5.8S ribosomal RNA", at positions 50 to 154 of the family's 154-position model. Lineage: Eukaryota; Fungi; Ascomycota; Eurotiomycetes; Chaetothyriales. The record is from RNAcentral.